This is a long non-coding RNA of Panicum hallii, 1738 nucleotides long. RefSeq lists it as uncharacterized. The record is from RefSeq and is a predicted model, not a curated record. The transcript is spliced from 2 exons. NCBI's taxonomy places the organism in Eukaryota, Viridiplantae, Streptophyta, Magnoliopsida, Poales, Poaceae.
AUGGAGCUGUCUUUCAGUUAUUCUUCCAGUGCAUUCUUCCAGUUAUCGUCAUACAUUUAAACAAAUGGAUGGUCAAGGGAAGCAGCAUCGUUCUUCGGUGUGGUAGAGCUAGCUGACUCUGCCUCCCCAGUCCUGAACCAGUAUGACUGCUGGAAUGAAGCUGCACCACUGGGAACAUCCUCCAUGACCCAUUCAAAGCCCUUGGGGUAGUAUAUCCCUGUCCUUGGGUGUGGCACCCACAAUGAUGUUUCUGCUGAUCGCACUUCUGCAGGCUCCAGUCGCCUCACAAGGUUCAGAGUGGAUGACUAGUUACCGGAGGAGAGCGGUCGAUUUCGCAAGUGCAUGGCAGCCCAUUGACUCAGGCUGCAGAGGUUAACAAGAUGCAGUGGUGGUUAUCCUUGGUAGGAACCAGCUGAUGGCAGUUCCCCCUUGCUUGGUACCUUCCUCAUCCUCAACCCAGGUAUUUAUACACUAGUUGUAGCCUCAGCAGAUCCAAUGCCACCACCAAUCCAUCAUGGUCCUGGCAAUAAAACAUACACCGUACAUUCAUUGGAUUAUGGAGAAUUGGACACGCUUAGCUAACUAGGAGUGGUGAUUUAUUUCUGGUCUAGGGGAUUUACAAACGAUUUUGUUUGCUGUCGAUAGCUUCCGAUUGGGCAACUAAAAUGAUGGUUUCCAGCCUCUGAUUGGACCCCUCUGGACAAAACACCAUUGGAACUGAUGCUCCCAGAAUCUGAAGUCAAUUGUCGCGAUAAAUGCAGCCUGGGACUGUACUGUUGCUACUUUGUGGAAUCGUGCGACAGCACCACCGAUGCUGUAGCUAGCAUUAUUAGCAAAGAGGAACCUUGGCUUUUAGAACAAAAGAUGGGAACAUGACACAACCAGUAGAAAAGCUAUUACUGAAAUUCCUUGGUGGCGAUGCUAUAGUUAGCUGCAAAUAAUUUUGUUAUAAACUUAUUGUGGAUUCCUGAUGAACAAGAUUGACAUGUGGACCCAAUGAUAGGUGAAUCAGGGUGUAAAUCCAUCUAGAAUUGAUUUCUAGUGCAGAUUUCAAGCUACAUAUCCUCACGUUAAAGAUUGUCUCUUUUACUUACUGGAUGGUUGUCUCCAGAAUUUCCGCACGCGGUACUUCUAACCUGAUCCGUCUUCCCCAUACAUUCUAUCUGAUCUGAUCUGGUGAGCACCGUCAACAACCGUUUUCUUCUGCACAAUAAUGGAGAGCACGGGAUCUGAUUCUUCCUUCCUGAAUGUAUAGCUGUGGUGUAAAACUAAAGAUGAAGCAUUUUAUUGCUUCUUGUCACUUCAUGCUGCUAUUUUCCCAGACCCCCCAGAAUUUACCAUGCAGUCAUAGGAAGCACGGCACUAAGAUUUGCGAGAAAAGCAUGAAUAGGAGUUGUACUAGGACGUGUCUGGGAGAGGAAUAAAGCUCCUGAUUUUGUUCUCAUCGGCUUCGGUUCAUCUGUUCGGUCCGUUGCUUUCAUGGAAGGGCAGGAAAUGUUCAGUGCUGGUUGGAUAUCUUGCCAUACACAUCAAGAUAACCAAGUGAGAUCUCAGUUUGCUUGUCAAAAUAUGUUGAUCAAGUCGUAGACUAUUGACGUGUGUUUUUGGCGAUUCGUUUUCCAGAAGAAAUUAUCCUGGAAGCUGUCAUCUGGAAUAGAAAAUUUUGGUUGUUACUCCCUCUGACUGUAAGAACAGUUAUCGAACUAAAUUUGUGUGGACGCUGGAACAAGCGUUGAAA